Molecule: ribosomal RNA, 566 nt
Filed under: uncultured bacterium
Lineage: Bacteria
Description: partial 16S ribosomal RNA
Rfam family: Bacterial small subunit ribosomal RNA
Source: RNAcentral
UGGGGAAUCUUAGACAAUGGGGGAAACCCUGAUCUAGCCAUGCCGCGUGAGCGAUGAAGGCCUUAGGGUUGUAAAGCUCUUUCAGCUGGGAAGAUAAUGACGGUACCAGCAGAAGAAGCCCCGGCUAACUCCGUGCCAGCAGCCGCGGUAAUACGGAGGGGGCUAGCGUUGUUCGGAAUUACUGGGCGUAAAGCGCACGUAGGCGGAUUAGUCAGUCAGAGGUGAAAUCCCAGGGCUCAACCCUGGAACUGCCUUUGAUACUGCUAGUCUUGAGGUCGAGAGAGGUGAGUGGAAUUCCGAGUGUAGAGGUGAAAUUCGUAGAUAUUCGGAGGAACACCAGUGGCGAAGGCGGCUCACUGGCUCGAUACUGACGCUGAGGUGCGAAAGCGUGGGGAGCAAAACAGGAUUAGAUACCCUGGUAGUCCACGCCGUAAAACGAUGAAUGCCAGUCGUCGGGUUGAUGCAAUUCGGUGACACACCCUAAACGGAUUAAAGCAUUCCGCCUGGGGAGUACGGUCGCAAGAUUAAAAACUCAAAUGAAUUGACGGGGUCAUAGCUGUUUCCUG